RNAcentral lists this ribosomal RNA (253 nucleotides) under uncultured bacterium. Its description in RNAcentral is "partial 16S ribosomal RNA". It matches the Rfam family "Bacterial small subunit ribosomal RNA", at positions 524 to 776 of the family's 1533-position model. The record is from RNAcentral.
AACGUAGGAGGCGAGCGUUAUCCGGAGUUACUGGGCGUAAAGCGUCUGUAGGUGGCAGCACACGUCUGAUGUGAAAGCUCCUGGCUAAACUGGGAGAGGGCGUCGGAUACGGUGCAGCUAGAGGACAGUAGAGGGGUGUAGAAUUCCGGGUGUAGUGGUGAAAUGCGUAGAGAUCCGGAGGAAUACCAGUGGCGCAAGCGGCACCCUGGGCUGUAACUGACACUGAGAGACGAAGGCAUGGGGAGCGAACGGG